AUGGCCAGGCUGGGGCCCAGCAGCCUCACCCACACCCACCCACCUGCUCCUGAGUCCACAGUGGUGCUGUGGCCCGCCUGGGCCAUGCUGGGGGCUGAUGGCAUGUGGGUGCCGGCCACUUGGGUUGACAAGCGUGCACCACGCCCCGGAGGCACCGUUAAACCCGGUGUGGUGAGGGCGGCCCUGUGCAGCGUCUGGGGGCACUGUGUUUGCAGCCCUCUUCUCAUCCCCAGAUCCUGGCAGAGAACAGGUGCCUUCCCCGGGUGGAAACUCAAGCCUGCUCCUAACAGCUCUGCUUCCAGGUCAGAGCCUGGGCGCCUCUUGACCGGCUUGGAGCUGGCACCACUGGAAAGUGGCUUCCCCUCCUGGCAGUGUCACCACUUACAGAGGAGGUCUCAAGCUCCAGAGAGAGCAAGUGACAGCCCCAGGCCGCACGGAGUCGGGGCAGCUGGUCGAGCCCUGAUGCGCCUGCUGUGCUGGCUUAUUCUGCUCUGCAGGGUGCCUCCUGCUGGGCCCCAUCCAGGAGGCCCUACAGGGGGCGGACGCAUAACUCGGGGAGCUGCCCAGCGUGGAAGGGGCCACCAAAGAGCAGCGAGCCCCCCGUCACCAGAGGUGUGCAAGCUGGUGAUGAGCUGGCGUGGGUGACCUCUGAGGUUCCUCUGGACUUCAGGGGCUGCGAUCCCGUGAUGGUUUCUGGAUGGUGCCCAGAUCUGGAGCUCUGCCCAGGACGUUGGGUCAUUUGUUCCUUCCACAACAAGUGGGGGGCCUCCUGGUGCCAGGUCCUGUGCGGAGGAGGCGGGUGGAGUUGAGCCCCUCCUUCCGGACACACGUUCCCCGGGGGGUGGGGAAACUGCUCUGAAGGGUUUGUGGCUGCAGGGAGGGCAGGUGGCCGAACUUGGUCAGUGAGGGGGCUGGACCCUUGGUGCUGUGGGCGCAGGAGUGGGGGGCUCUGGGGAGAUUCCCCGGGGGUGGGCGUGGGCUCGGCCUGUUGGGUCCCCUCCCCUCCCCCAGGCAGCAAGUAGACGGGAUUGUCUGGGAGGAUUCCAGGAAUGGCUCCUGCCCUGAUAAAAAUAGACUUCUCCGAAGGGCUUGGGAUGGUGCCAGGCCAGCAGGUGCCCCCCAGGCCUGGCCAGAGCGGGUGCCCCCAGUGAGGGGGGGGACAGGGGUGCUGGUUUGCGGGCUCAGCAGUCUGGUGGGCUCUGGGUCCUGGGUGUAGGUCCACAAAGCUGAUGGGGCCUCUCAGCUUGUAUGGAUGGGGAUGCAGUGUGGCGUGGCAUGAGAGCAGCUUGCCCAGGGGUCCUCUCUCCAGAGGGUCAGGGUCUCCGGGGGUCAGCAAAACUCAGCCCAACUUUGGUUCUUCUGCUUGUCGGCGGUGUGACUCAGGUUAAGUCCCUCGACCCCUCUGAGCUGCUAUUUUAUUAAUAGAGUGUGGCUGAUGGGCUUUGCUCAUGGCAUGCAGCAUCCAGCACGGUGUCUGAGGGGACAAGCUCUCAGGAAGUCAUCCAGGUGCGAGACUGGUGGGGCCCUGAGUGCCCAGAGCUGGCCUUUAGGAAGAGGCUGCUGGAAGCUGGGCCCUA
Molecule: long non-coding RNA, 1577 nt
Organism: Bos grunniens (domestic yak)
Lineage: Eukaryota; Metazoa; Chordata; Mammalia; Artiodactyla; Bovidae
Source: Ensembl